Molecule: ribosomal RNA, 397 nt
Filed under: uncultured bacterium
Lineage: Bacteria
Description: partial 16S ribosomal RNA
Rfam family: Bacterial small subunit ribosomal RNA
Source: RNAcentral
AUACGUAGGGGGCGAGCGUUGUCCGGAAUGAUUGGGCGUAAAGGGCGCGUAGGCGGCCCGUUAAGUCUGGAGUGAAAGUCCUGCUUUUAAGGUGGGAAUUGCUUUGGAUACUGAUGGGCUUGAGUGCAGGAGAGGUAAGUGGAAUUCCCAGUGUAGCGGUGAAAUGCGUAGAGAUUGGGAGGAACACCAGUGGCGAAGGCGACUUACUGGACUGUAACUGACGUUGAGGCGCGAAAUUGUGGGGAGCAAACAGGAUUAGAUACCCUGGUAGUCCACACUGUAAACGAUGAAUGCUAGGUGUAGGGGGUAUCGACCCCUUCUGUGCCGCAGUAAACACAAUAAGCAUUCCGCCUGGGGAGUACGGCCUCAAGGUUGAAACUCAAAGGAAUUGGCGGGU